Molecule: ribosomal RNA, 970 nt
Filed under: uncultured Verrucomicrobiaceae bacterium
Lineage: Bacteria; Pseudomonadati; Verrucomicrobiota; Verrucomicrobiia; Verrucomicrobiales; Verrucomicrobiaceae
Description: bacterial SSU rRNA
Rfam family: Bacterial small subunit ribosomal RNA
Source: RNAcentral
GCAAGUCGCACGGGACUAUUUGAGUAGCAAUACAAGAAUAGUUUAGUGGCGCACGGGUGAGUAACACGUGAAUUACAUGCCCUGCAGAGGGGGAUAGCCCAGGGAAACUUGGAUUAAUACCCCAUGGUAUCGCAAGAUUAAAGGUGGCCGCAAGGCUGUCGCUGCAGGAUUGGUUCGCGCCCUAUCAGCUUGUUGGUGAGGUAACGGCUCACCAAGGCUACGACGGGUACCUGGUCUGAGAGGACGAUCAGGCACACUGGAACUGAGACACGGUCCAGACACCUACGGGUGGCAGCAGUCGAGAAUAAUUCACAAUGGGGGCAACCCUGAUGGUGCAACGCCGCGUGGAGGAUGAAGGUCUUCGGAUUGUAAACUCCUGUCAUCCGGGAGUAAGACCUGGCGAUGAAUAGUCGACAGGGUUGAUAGUACCGGAAGAGGAAGGGACGGCUAACUUCGUGCCAGCAGCCGCGGUAAUACGAAGGUCCCGAGCGUUGUUCGGAAUCACUGGGCGUAAAGGGAGCGUAGGCGGCGUGGUAAGUCAGAUGUGAAAUCCCGGGGCUCAACCCCGGAACUGCAUCCGAUACUGCCGUGCUAGAGGAUUGGAGAGGUAGCUGGAAUUCACGGUGUAGCAGUGAAAUGCGUAGAUAUCGUGAGGAACACUCGUGGCGAAAGCGAGCUACUGGACAACUCCUGACGCUGAGGCUCGAAGGCCAGGGUAGCGAAAGGGAUUAGAUACCCCUGUAGUCCUGGCAGUAAACGGUGCACGCUUGGUGUGAGGGGAAUCGACCCCCCUUGUGCCGGAGCUAACGCGUUAAGCGUGCCGCCUGGGAAGUACGGUCGCAAGACUAAAACUCAAAGAAAUUGACGGGGACCCGCACAAGCGGUGGAGUAUGUGGCUUAAUUCGAUGCAACGCGAAGAACCUUACCAAGGCUUGACAUGCAUCUCUAAGCGCGUGGAAGCGCGUGACCC